Long non-coding RNA from Lotus japonicus, 1408 nucleotides. RefSeq lists it as uncharacterized. NCBI's taxonomy places the organism in Eukaryota, Viridiplantae, Streptophyta, Magnoliopsida, Fabales, Fabaceae. The record is from RefSeq and is a predicted model, not a curated record. The transcript is spliced from 2 exons.
AUUAUCUAUUCUAGUAUUAUGUUCUCAUUAAGAUUUUGGAUGAUUGACCCUUAUUUUUCCAUAAUCGAAUAAGCAUAUUAAAUUCGUAUCUACUUCCUGUAAUAGAAAUGAUUAUGAUGAUGAUGGAAUGAGCCAUGUGAUGUACUACUAAUGAAUUAUUUCGGCACAGGACCAUUUUGUCCAUACAUCAAUAAUUACACAUUAAUUUACAUAUCCACGCUUGACGCGUGCAACUAUAUAUAACAUAUAUAAUAAUGUAAUUAAGUGCGUGUAUUAUGUUUAUACUAUGGAUAUAUUCAGGGGCGGACCCACGUAAGGCCCAGGAGGUUCAACCCCCUGAAAAAAAGAAUUUCAACUUACUCUCCUAUAAUAUAUUUUUUUGAACCCCUGAAAAUUUAAAGUUGCACCCUAGACCCCAACUCCUCUCUCUCACAGUCACACUAUAGUCAGAUCUCUCUCCUCUUACCAGUCACGCACACACUCACGCUCUUCACUCUCAAGUCUCUCAUUCUCUGAUUUCCCAAGCACCACCACCGGCCACCACCACGCCGCCGCCGCACCACCACGUGCCACUCUCCAGCCGUGCGCCCUGCCUUUGGCUCUGCCUAUGCGGUUCUAAUUUCUGAAGGUAUGGAUGAAGGUCCUGAGUGUGGAUUAAAGCUAAAAAGUGUGUAUGUGUAUACUCUGUGUUCGAAUGGCUGUAGAAUCCGUGGGAGAGCAUAACUCAGAUUUGAUGUGGGUUUACAUACUGAAGUUAUUUGGCAGGAUGUAGAGAGGAUCAAAUUGUUGGCUGCAGGGUGUGUUUUAUUCUCAUGAUGCCAUUGAAUUUUAUAUGGCUGGUUAGGCUGUGAUAUUAAUUAUAGUGCACAAAGUGGUGGUAUGCAUGGUGGGGACUUGCUAUUGUGUCUGCAUAAGUAUUAAGGUGGUUUUCUUGCAAGGUGCUGUUUAGGCAAUAAGUUUUGUUUGUGGUGGAAUUAAAUUCAGCUAUGAAUUGACACCAAUUUAUGAUGAUUGCACUCAAAUGGAGAUGGCUACUGCUACUGAUACUAUUAUGGAAGGAGCACUGCAAAGGGGAGCUGAUUUCGUGCAGGUCUUUUACUGCGCAUUGUUUUAAUUUGUGAGGCAGGUUCUUCCUUUGGAUAUAUUCAGGCUGAAGGCAUUUGGACAGUGGAGUGUUGGAGGAGGCUUAUAAUUCUCUUAUCUGCUUUUAUUCCUUCUUGGUGGUUACCUUUAGAUUUUAGAAAUUGGUACUAUUUUUCCUUCACUGGGUUUUUCCUAGUAAGGUUUUAAUGAUGCCUUUUUCUAAAGUCUUUCCUCCAAGAAGAUGGUGGGAUAUCAUUAGUAUAUGGUUCAUGUAUUGCUGUAUUUUUUGUCGCACUUAUCUUGUCUUAUUUCCUUCAUUUCCUUA